Molecule: ribosomal RNA, 440 nt
Filed under: uncultured bacterium
Lineage: Bacteria
Description: partial 16S ribosomal RNA
Rfam family: Bacterial small subunit ribosomal RNA
Source: RNAcentral
CCUACGGGUGGCAGCAGUGGGGAAUAUUGCACAAUGGGGGAAACCCUGAUGCAGCGACGCCGCGUGAGUGAAGCAGUAUUUCGGUAUGUAAAGCUCUAUCAGCAGGGAAGAAAAUGACGGUACCUGACAAAGAAGCCCCGGCUAACUACGUGCCCGCAGCCGCGGUAAUACGUAGGGGGCAGGCGUUAUCCGGAUUUACUGGGUGGAAAGGUAGUGUAGACGGCAGAGGAAGGCUGAAGUGAAAGCCCGCGGGCCAACUUCGGGACUGCUUUGGAAACUGCCCGGCUAGAGUGCUGGAGAGGUAAGCGGAAUUCCUAGUGUAGCGGUGAAAUGCGUAGAUAUUAGGAGGAACACCAGUGGCGAAGGCGGCUUACUGGACAGUAACUGACGUUGAGGCUCGAAAGCGUGGGGAGCAAACAGGAUUAGAUACCCCUGUAGUC